GGAAGGUGGGGACCCCGGUCACCGUUUUUUAUUUUUUUUUUUCGCUCAGAACGAACGCUGGCGGCAGGCUUAACACAUGCAAGUCGAACGCCCCGCAAGGGGAGUGGCAGACGGGUGAGUAACGCGUGGGAACAUACCCUUUCCUGCGGAAUAGCUCCGGGAAACUGGAAUUAAUACCGCAUACGCCCUACGGGGGAAAGAUUUAUCGGGGAAGGAUUGGCCCGCGUUGGAUUAGCUAGUUGGUGGGGUAAAGGCCUACCAAGGCGACGAUCCAUAGCUGGUCUGAGAGGAUGAUCAGCCACAUUGGGACUGAGACACGGCCCAAACUCCUACGGGAGGCAGCAGUGGGGAAUAUUGGACAAUGGGCGCAAGCCUGAUCCAGCCAUGCCGCGUGAGUGAUGAAGGCCUUAGGGUUGUAAAGCUCUUUCACCGGAGAAGAUAAUGACGGUAUCCGGAGAAGAAGCCCCGGCUAACUUCGUGCCAGCAGCCGCGGUAAUACGAAGGGGGCUAGCGUUGUUCGGAAUUACUGGGCGUAAAGCGCACGUAGGCGGAUAUUUAAGUCAGGGGUGAAAUCCCAGAGCUCAACUCUGGAACUGCCUUUGAUACUGGGUAUCUUGAGUAUGGAAGAGGUAAGUGGAAUUCCGAGUGUAGAGGUGAAAUUCGUAGAUAUUCGGAGGAACACCAGUGGCGAAGGCGGCUUACUGGUCCAUUACUGACGCUGAGGUCGAAAAGAGG
RNAcentral lists this ribosomal RNA (735 nucleotides) under Agrobacterium tumefaciens. Its description in RNAcentral is "bacterial SSU rRNA". It matches the Rfam family "Bacterial small subunit ribosomal RNA", at positions 1 to 763 of the family's 1533-position model. The record is from RNAcentral. Lineage: Bacteria; Pseudomonadati; Pseudomonadota; Alphaproteobacteria; Hyphomicrobiales; Rhizobiaceae.